GAAAUGCGAUAAGUAAUGUGAAUUGCAGAAUUCAGUGAAUCAUCGAAUCUUUGAACGCACCUUGCGCUCCUUGGUAUUCCUUGGAGCAUGCCUGUUUGAGUAUCAUGAAAUCUUCAAAGUAAAUCUUUUGUUAACUCAAUUGGUUUCUACUUUGGUAUUGGAGGUCUUUGCAGCUUCACACCUGCUCCUCUUUGUUCAUUAGCUGGAUUUCAGUGUUAUGCUUGGUUCCACUCGGCGUGAUAAGUUAUCUAUCGCUGAGGACACUGUAAAAGGUGGCCAAGGUAAAUGCAGAUGAACCGCUUCUAAUAGUCCAUUGACUUGGACAAUACUUUUAUGAUCUGAUCUCAAAUCAGGUAUGACUACCCGCUGAACUUAAGC
This 378-nucleotide unclassified non-coding RNA is filed under the name plant metagenome. RNAcentral describes it as "partial contains 5.8S ribosomal RNA, internal transcribed spacer 2, and large subunit ribosomal RNA". The stretch from base 1 to 105 matches the Rfam family "5.8S ribosomal RNA", at positions 50 to 154 of the family's 154-position model. The record is from RNAcentral.